Molecule: long non-coding RNA, 806 nt
Filed under: Scleropages formosus (Asian bonytongue)
Lineage: Eukaryota; Metazoa; Chordata; Actinopteri; Osteoglossiformes; Osteoglossidae
Description: lncRNA (ENSSFOG00015033049.1)
Source: RNAcentral
GUGAUCCUAACAGGUGGUGUGACGUAAAUUUAUGAAGCUGUUAGGAAAUCAGGAGAGAACUGGCUCUGAAAUACAUGUUUCCAGGCCUUUCUUUAAUGCUGAAAGGGCUUCAGCAGCUCUGAGCGACAGAAGGGGUCCAUUCCACUUCAUCAGAGUCAAAAACAGAAGUCACAGACUUUUGUAUGUGGAUCACUUAUGAGCAGGAGCGCCAAGCGGACGAAGGUGGAAAAGCGUGGGAAAUUGUUCAGUGGAAAUUGUUUGUUUCUCUUUUCCAGCAAACCCCCACUUCCGUGUGGACUCUGCGUCGGCCGAGGUCUUCCAGAGGGAGCUCUAUCUGGGCGAGCUAAUGACCGUUCCUGUCCCAGUGAAGCCACUCACCUGCUACCCUGACAGCUACCCAAUCCUUGCACUCCUGCUAAACCCACCCCUGGCAUGGCCCAAGGGCCUUGGAGACCUUGACCUUAGGUUUCCCCAAUUUCAGCCCUACACUGUUCCCAAUUCCAUUGACACUGGGCCUUCACAUGUGCGACCAGUCCCGCUGUUUAUCCACCCCAUUGGGUUCCCACCAGGUGUCCAGGAGGAGAUGAACCUGAGACACUUUCCUGGCCCUGCAUUCCACAUGGAUGGGGACAGGAGGACAAAUAAAACAGAUGUGCAACUUCAUAGCAGCCAAGAAUCCAACGACACCUCUGUGGAUAGUGACUUGUCCACUCAGAGCACUCUUUGAGGAUACAGCCAGAAGCUGUGAAUAUAAUUAAGUCUUUCGAAAAUAUGUAUGGUUUAAUGGUUUUUUGCUUUUCUCUGAG